Molecule: non-coding RNA, 273 nt
Organism: Pimephales promelas (fathead minnow)
Lineage: Eukaryota; Metazoa; Chordata; Actinopteri; Cypriniformes; Leuciscidae
Source: RefSeq, a predicted model, not a curated record
CGGCUGACAGUUCUGCUGGAAAUCAGCCAGUCUUGACCUGAUGGACCAGACAAAUUUGAAUACAGACACAGAAUGAUUCAACUAAAAUGACUGCCUCCAUUUGAGAAAACGACCCACGCUAACGAAAAUGUGUCCAUGUUGACCCCCAGAACCACCUUUGCAGUCCCCUGGAAGAAAACAUUUCCAAAUUAACCAGGAUUUUUUAAUGAGAAAUAAUAAGAGUGGUUGACAAGUCACCAUACGAAAGGUAAACACUCUCUCGGAUGGUCCAGG